Long non-coding RNA from Scophthalmus maximus (turbot), 1110 nucleotides. RefSeq lists it as uncharacterized. The transcript has 4 exons. The record is from RefSeq and is a predicted model, not a curated record. Lineage: Eukaryota; Metazoa; Chordata; Actinopteri; Pleuronectiformes; Scophthalmidae.
CUCACACACACACUCACACACUCACACACUCACACACACACUCACACACACACACACUCACACACACACUCACACACACACACUCAGCAGGGAGAAGCUGUCUGAUUUGACAGUGUCAGGUGUUUGACUGUACCUUGUCUGAAUGUCUGGGUUAAAUGCUGGUUAUCGGUGACCGUGCCGCUCCGCGGGUGUCUGACUGCCUGAGGCUACAGACCGAGGCGUCAGAUGAGGAGAGCAGUGGAUUAGAUCUGAGACGGUCCGAUUUGUGAAGGGAUAGAGGUACAAAAGAGUCUUCCCCUGAGGGAGCACUGACGGGAAAACCUUUCAUUAUCACCGGCCCUGUGUCGCCUGAUAACGAAAUUAGAUUGGAUCGGGGAACGUGAGUACUUUCUGUCACUCUUGCUCUUGCUCGCGUUCUUGGCUUUUCUUUGUCUUCCACAGCCGUCCUCAGAAGCAUUCUCAACACGUUCUCCUGGUUUUUAGAUGCCGAUCGGAGCCACACCAGACAAAGCGACGCCACCUGCCGAGCUGAGUCGACGCCGUCAGUUUAACUUACAGACAAAAAGCAGGCGUGCAGAGCGUCGUGCGUUUCAUUUCGGCUGCCAUGAUGAACAGCCCUUUUGUUCUUAACGGCCACGUGCAAUGAACACAGACUGGAGCUGGCGGGGGCCGCGGCGCGGCACACACACCGGGGGAGGUCAAGCCACGGCCGGUCGGGGAGGUGGCCGCCGUGCACACGGGCAGCGUAGGAGCGCAACUGUGUGAAGCGGAGGAGAGGUGGAGGCGUUAACAACUGGGAUUCAAGUUGGAAAUCCAAAGGAAGACAUUGCUGAAUCAAUGUUUGAAAUGUCUCAGACGUAACCUUAAACACGCAGAAAUAUUCACCAACAUUUUCAACUCAUAAUUUUGGAGGGGAGACUCUCACCUGUGCCACACAAUCCUCCAUCAUGAGUAGAAAUAACCCAGUGGCUCAAACUCAAUAAGAAGGUGACCCAGCAGGAUGUGAAGAAAGAGAACCCGCUGCAGUUCAAGUUCAGAGCCAAAUUCUUCCCCGAGGAUGUUUCAGAGGAGCUAAUCCAGGAGAUCACCCAGAGACUCUUCUUUCUGCAG